CUCCACUUGCUGAUGCAACAAUUUACUUUACUUUACAUAAAAGGACGAGUAAUUCGUUUCACAGGUAAGAUUCAUGGGAUGGAUAGUACGAAAUUUUUUUAAUUUCAAUAUUGGACAUUAAAGUCAUAAAAAACCUUGUAAAAUUUGUGGUCAUAAGACUUACUGUUUUGUUUUAGCCCUGGCGAUCUGUCUUACACAGAUUUUUCCGGUGAAAAUAAUUUCUUAGUUAAUGUAAUACACUUAAUAUAGACCAGGAUUAAGCACAAGGCCAGAGAGGGGAGCAACGAGGGCAAAAUAGCCAGGGCCACUACACUGGAUUCACUUGUUAUAUGACAUCAACAUAUAGUCGUGUACUGUUAACAAGUCAACUGUUAACAAGUCAACUGUUAACAAGUCAACUGUUAACAAGUCAACUGUUAACAAGUCAACUGUUAAUGGUCCGCAUACAAUAAAUUGACUUGUCCGAUUUUGUCAUAUAAACAAAACUCCUGAUUUUAAUAGUCCUGAAACUGUUAAAUUUGAUGUUGUGAGCAGUGGCAUAGCCAGACUGAAACAGAAGUGGGGAAACAAUCAAUUGUGUCAUCAAGAAAUUGGUGGGUGGGUCAGUGAGGGAGCUGCCAAAGGCAUGAGCCUGUUAGCGGGUCUGGGGGCACGCUUAUCCAGAAGAUUUUAAAUCUGAGGCCUCUCAGAGCCCUGAAAUGCAAUCAAAUUCACUAGCUCAGUAAGGGACCAGUCAUUAUUAAUGCCGGGUAGGGGGCUGGAGGAAAUUUAGAGGGGCCACAAAAAGUUUUAACCAUUGAAGUGGGGGGGGGGAGAAAAUAUUUUGAACAUAAAGGGGGGGGGGCAAAAAAUAAAAUCUAUGGAAUAGUUUGUAACAUGUAAUAUCAAAAAGAGUAAUGGAUAUAUACAGUAUACAUACUUAUUUUUCACCCUGCUCGGUUUCCUUUGUUCUUGUCGGGGAAUAUAUUCAAUAUUCCCCUCUAAUCAAUUUCCGUUUAAUAAUCCCCUCUAAUAUUCACCUGCAAUUAAUAAUCCCCUCUAAUAUUCACCUGCAAUGUCUUUGCAGCACAAAAAAUGAGAAAAAACAACAUCGCGAAGGCAAUAUGGCAUUAAGAAUUAUUUCUUUUCUGACUCGUUAACGUGACCUCGCAGUGUGAAAAAUAAGUACGUUAUUUUGAGGCACCUCGGGGAUAUGUGUUUAUUCACCUCGGCGCUACGCGCCUCGGUGAAUAAAUCACAUAUCCCCUCGUUGUCUCAAAAUAACCUAUACAUACAUUGAACAGUAAUGCCCAAUAUAUUGAACCUAAAGUUGUGUUCUAACUACUGUAUAUGGAAAUUGUCAUCCUCAUCAUCACCGUAGAAUUUGUCUGAAGGGUCAUGCACUGUAUUUGCAACUAUGCAAGAUUCAAUUGACAGUUGUUGUCCUGUUUUACGCUUUUUAACACAGCUAGCAGACCUCUUUGGCAUGUUCUGUUUCUGCAUGUUGUUGACAGUCUCUUCUGCCAUCUCUUCAAUAUAAUGCUUCCACCAGACACAAAUGUUUUUUUAUCAAUUAGUAAAAGACUAGGCCUGAUGUGUGGUUUUUUUGUUUGAGGGCCAACAACUUUUCAGGUAUAAAGUCUGAAUUGUCUAUUGUUAUAUUGUGAAACUAAAGUCACUCCUGUCCACCUUGGCUAUCAUUUUCAAUAUUUACAAUAUUCUUUACAGCUGCAAGUAAACUGAGUAUGAGGGCAGGAAAAAUGCUUACGAAACUGACUUAGAUUCAUUGAAUUCAGAAUUGGGGGGAGGGGGCUAUGAAAUAUGGUGCCUCAAUGGGGGGGGGAUAAAUUUUGAUUUUGUUAGAAAAAUAAGGGGUCAUGAGAAAUUUUUGCUAUUCAUAAAAAUUUCCUCCAGCCCCCUACCCGGCAUUAAUAAUGACUUGUCCCUAAAAACAAUCCGUAAGAAUCAUUUACAAAAAAAAUCAUGUACUGGACAUGUAUUUCCACAACCAAGUGGAAUACACAAAGAACUACAGCAAGAAUGUUUUUAUUAAAUUAAUUAACCUAACUGUGGAUCCUUCCUCUCUCUUGAACAAAUUGUUAUCUUUGCCUGUCAUUGUCUUGACUUUCUUGGAAUUAGUUACAGAGAAACUAUGAUUAACUAGUGGAUAAUGAUUCACCAUUUCAGUACUAUGUAAAAAUACUUUUAUUAGCUAAUACACAUGUCAUGCAGUUUUAUGGAUGAGAAGUAUCCACAAUUUUGAUAAAUGCUGUUUUUGAGGUGGGAAAAUGUGUAAUAAUAUUAGUGUAAUAUGAUUGUUGUCUUUUGUCUUGCAGGAAUUAUUGGUUAUGUUGCGGGCAUCACAGAACAUGGGACAAGGCAUUAAAAUACAGAAUAGCCAAAAGCGAAGUCAUAAUAAUUAAUACCACAGUAACUUAAUUAUCUGAUGGCAAUCAUAGAUGGAUUUUUUGGGGGGAUGCAGGUGGUGUGCACCCCCAAAAAUAUUUUCACCACCUCAGAAAGUUUUCCCACCCCACCUAGAGAUAUUUGCACCCACCCCAGAAAUUUAAAUGCUGGUUUGAUUAAAUGACAGCAGUAUAAUUGAACUAAAUAAGAACUAAAUAAGACUUAAAACAAGGCCAAAAAUCUCAAAAUAUCCUGGGGGUCGGUGCCCCCAACCAUACCCCAACUCUGUCCCCACUAGUGACUGUUAACCCUCAGCAUGGGCAUACAGGAAGGAAAAAAUUAGGCGGACGGAAAGAAAUUUGCCUGACUUUUUCGGAUUGUGCCCGAGUUGUCAUAAAAAAAUUUCCAGAGAAACUUUCCGAAAUUGUUGUCAACAGGGGGGGGAGGAUGCUACGAAAAAUUCCUAUUGGAUAGCAUAUUUCCCACAAAAUUGACAGAAUAAUAAGCCAAUACUGCCCAACUGGCUUUGUUUGCCCAACAAACUGGGGGGGGGGCACACCCAUGGUAGACCCCGGUAGACCCUGCUGCAUCUUACUCAGCACACUAUGUGCUCACUUUCCACCCCUGAAUUUUUCUGCACACCCCCACCCCAAGCAAAAUUUGAAAAUGUCUAUAGAUUAUGGUGAUGAUAACAUAAAAGUAUAAACCUUUAUUACCGUAAGUUAAUGUUAAUUAAUUAAGACUAUUAAGUUAACACAUGAUCCACUACAUCAUGUACACUUAAUUAAUUACAAUAAUUUUAGUGUUAAUUUAAAAUUAUUCACUGUUAAUAAUUCUACUGUAUUGAAGAAGUUCAAAUAAAAUAGUUCAAAAUUAAUCCAGCUUUUGUGUCUUCAAUUUCCAUACAUCUUGCUUGGUA
Molecule: long non-coding RNA, 3304 nt
Filed under: Paramuricea clavata
Lineage: Eukaryota; Metazoa; Cnidaria; Anthozoa; Malacalcyonacea; Plexauridae
Source: RNAcentral